RNAcentral lists this ribosomal RNA (213 nucleotides) under uncultured bacterium. Its description in RNAcentral is "partial 16S ribosomal RNA". It matches the Rfam family "Bacterial small subunit ribosomal RNA", at positions 524 to 736 of the family's 1533-position model. The record is from RNAcentral.
UACGUAGGGUGCAAGCGUUGUCCGGAAUUAUUGGGCGUAAAGAGCUCGUAGGCGGUUCGUCGCGUCGGCUGUGAAAACCUGAGGCUCAACCUCAGGCCUGCAGUCGAUACGGGCGGACUUGAGUACUGCAGGGGAGACUGGAAUUCCUGGUGUAGCGGUGAAAUGCGCAGAUAUCAGGAGGGACACCGUGGCGAAGGCGGGUCUCGUGGGCAG